Corylus avellana is the source of this 743-nucleotide non-coding RNA. The record is from RefSeq and is a predicted model, not a curated record. NCBI's taxonomy places the organism in Eukaryota, Viridiplantae, Streptophyta, Magnoliopsida, Fagales, Betulaceae.
UGUCGAUUUCUUUCUUUGAUUCCUGGUAGAUGAUGGGGUUGGCGAGAAAUGUGCUUUGAGUCCUCCGUCACAGCUCCACCAUUGCUGACCGGAGAGUUGAAAGAUGGAAAGGGCCAGACUGGAUUUAAGAUUUCAUCACUCGGGAUCAACACAAUCGGAGGAAUCAGCUCUAGAUUUGGAAAGGAACUACUGCAUUCAUCCUAAUCUACCUUUAUCAUGUCCAUUACCGCCUUCAACCAUUUGUGUCAGGUGCUCAGCAUUCCGAGAGCAGUGCUGCCUACUCCUGGCGUACUUCAAGUUGAUUAAAUGAUGUGGUAGAAGAAGAUAAGGCAAACUACUUUGGAAACCUUCAAAAGGGGGUGCUGCCUGAAACUCUGGGGCGGUUGCCAACAGGGCAAGCAAGCUACCACUUUGCUUGAGUUAAUGACCGUUAGAGCAUUUCACAGCAAGAUCUUGCGCCGAGUCAGUCUUGGCACUGCAACUGGGUUUCAAAUUCGAAAGGGUGGACUGACAUAUAUUCCUGCUAUUCUUGCCUUUGUUGCCGGUAAAGUUCACAGGCAAUGGCUCAACCACGUCCAAUGUCUACCUGCUGUCCUUGAGGUGGGAAACUUUGGUACCAUUGGCUUUGCUUUGGGUUUUUACAUGUCUUUAUAUGAUCUCGUUGUAUGUUUUUUGAAUAAAGAUUUAAACAGAACUACAUUAUGCUCAACCCCUUCAGAAGUCCAUAUCGUCCUUUCUCUGCA